Molecule: long non-coding RNA, 23916 nt
Organism: Falco peregrinus (peregrine falcon)
Lineage: Eukaryota; Metazoa; Chordata; Aves; Falconiformes; Falconidae
Exons: 4
Source: RefSeq, a predicted model, not a curated record
UUAUCCAGCCCUACAAUUAAUCUCCAGCAGCACUGGAUUUUACUGGUAAUUGCAUACCUUGUGCAGUCAUUUUUUUCUUGCUUGUAAAUACCAUUCAUUUUAACCUGCACAUUCCUUUUAACACCAAUUUUCUUGAAUUUUAGUAGGUUUUCACAAUGAAGUAUAAAUUUCACUGCUAGAUAUACAUAGACACAACAAAUUUAUGGCAGUACUUUUCCCUAAAUCCUAGUCAUUUAAAUGAAAGUAGCUGUUUAAGUUGGUUUUACUGUGCUCGGGCAGGAUGUGCUACAAUGCCAUGUGGGAUUCUUUGUAUACUGAUAUAUAUACUGUUUGAAUCUUUAAAAAUCUGGAUUCUUUAAGAGAUUAGUAUCAGGACUGCAUUUUUCAGUUUCCAUGGCAAAAGGACAUGUUUGUUUUGGAUUGCUUUUUAAUAGCAUUUUUGUGUAACUAAUUGCAUCUUGGCAUGUUACAGGGUAAACUAAUGUUGCUGCUUCAAAUCCACGAGUCAACAAGUAAACAGAAGUAUAUUCACUGUACAUACUAGACUGUCUGUCUAUACAACCAAAAGGACUAAAAAAUUCUCUUAAAUAACAGUUACAUAAAGUCCAAACUCCUUCCCCUUCGUGUUCUUAUGUUUAUGGCAGCCUAAUGUAAAGUUGGCAUUGUCACAGAACUACAAAUAAUGUAAGUUCCAAGUGUAGUGAAGUAAUAUGUGCAUAUCUUUAAUAUAUAUAGAAAUUUUGAAUAUUGCAAUUCUCCCCCUCCCCCAAUUGACCAACCAUUAGAAAAACGCAUUAGAUUAUGAAAAUCUGUAGUCAGCUGUUAACCGUAACAUAUAAGAUUAGGGAUUAGAAGAAAUAAAUUGAUACUUUGAAAAAACAUAGACAUACAUCAUGCUGGAAAUGAAAAUUACUUAUACAGCUAGUCCUAUAUUGCAAGACUCAGACUACCUUUUGUGACCUGUGGCGUGUCACUUCUGGAAGAGCUGAAGAUUUUUAAGGAUGCUAGAGUAAUAGAUGUAAGUAAUGCCAAUAAAAGUAUUCAUGGCCUUAACACCUUAUCUAAGUGCAUUAUCAGAAGCACCUCUGGAAGCAUGUGUAACUCUGCCGAUCUCAUGUCUUGUGUUGUAGUGUGCACAAGGGCGGUCUGCCAAAAUAGCCAAAGGGCUGGAAAGUUUAAAAAAAUAAAUGAAAGUAACCCUAUUCUCUACCCAUGUGGCUCUGUUUACCCACAGGCAGAUCUGCACAAACAGAUCUUCCUAAGCCAGAGCAGAGCUGAGCAAGGUUUUUCCGAUUGUAUCAGGAUCUGCCGCUUUCUUCCAGUUACUUUCUUGAUCUGGAGGAACUUGCCCUCAAAAGCCCUCUGUGGCUUUUUUUUUUUUUUUUUUUUUUUUUAAUGUAUUUGCAAAGCUGCUCUUUCUUAAGAAAGAAAACAGACUCUUUUAUCCCUUAGUUAGUUAUAUAUCAAAAAUAGAAAGCCCAAAGUUGGUUGUAUAAAAUGCAGACUGUUCUCUUUAUGGAUGAACUGAUUUAACAUGCUUCUGGAAAUUGCACAGGAUUCUGAUCACAUACUGGUGCAAACUCAGGAGUCAUUCCCCUUUAGCCAGUGAAAUUAAGUAGGCAUAAAACUGGUUUACAUAAGAUGAAUGAUAAGGAAACCCUUGAGCGUCAUUUGUAUAGUGUAUUUACUCAGUGGUAACAGAACUUUAAUGUCAUAGUUGGACCAGUGCAUAUUACGAAUUAGUGUGCAAAUACCACCACAUUGCUGGGAGGUUUCUUGGGAGGCAGCAUGACAGUUUUUAUUUUAACAGGCAAGGCCAGGCUUUUGAUUGCAUGCUGUCCCUUUUUGCACCAUCAAACUAAGGGGAAAAAACCCCUGUUGAAAUCACUCAUUUGAUCGAGUUAAACUGAGCUUAAGAUGCCUGCUGGAAAGAUAUGAAGAUAAAUGUGCCACCAUUUUGGUCCACUGGUCCCAGGGAUGGCUAGUUACCAAACCAGUUCCCAGAGCAGCUUAAAGCAGUCUCCGAGCUGCUCUAAGCAACGAUUUCUGUCUGGCUUUAAGGCUGCGGUGGUACUCUGGAUAUGGCCUCUGCUCGCAGAAGUGUCUUCUGUGCCCAGAGCUGUGAGAGGCUCGGUCUCAGGAAGCCUUUUAAAGCCGGGAAUCCUUACUUGCCUGGGUGAGGGAAUUUGAGGGUCCUUUCACACAGGCACCACACAGCCAAGAGGCAGGCAUUGAGCCAGAGACCCUGCUUGGUGGAGCAGGCUGCUGUUACUGAGAACAGAAUGAGAUCUCUGACCUGCCCGGUAACAUCGUUUCCAUGUUCCUAAGGAUGCUGACACAAAUUUGUUGCACUGCAGUUCUCUAGCAGUAUAGUAUAACAUGGAGUCAAAGGACCAAUUCUCCUUUCAUUUACACUGAGAAGUUCCUUUGAUAUGUGUGAGGGUGCAGCAAAGGUAAAAAUGCAAAAUCUCAUUGUAGAGAGGAGGAUCCUGAACUCACAUGGUGCAGUAGGCUAGGUGGGUAGAAAGGGGCAUGACAGAGCAGAGCAAAGUUACCAAGUGGGAAAAUAUUUCAAGAAGUCAAUGUGCUGCUCUUGGUAUAGAUGAGCCAGCAGAAAAAAUGAGUUGCGUGGGUCGUCCUCAGCAGGGAAUGGGAACGUGUCGGAGGUGCAAACUGGAGCAUAACAUUCUUGUAGGUGAGGGAUGAGUGAAUGGCACUGGCUGUUUAAAGCUCGUUUAAGAAUUGCCCAGGGAAACAAGUAGACAAACAGCACUGCAGCAGUACUUUAUGUUUUUUCUUCCCUGUCUCCCUCCUGCUCCAUGGUGUAGAAGAGGAACAGGUUAGCUGGUUACAGUGGAACCUGAAUUCAGCAGUGGGAGAGGAGGAUAUGCUGCCUAAGUGCUGCCAAGCAGGAUGCAACACAGUGCCAUGCCAGUAAUACUGCUGGCAGCGUGGGGCUCUUCUCACUUUGUCAUCAGUGAAGGCUUGAUGUACUAAUGUUUAAUUAUAAUGCACUGGCCUCUGAACUUACCUCUUGUUGGUCAGGAGUGUAUAAUUAUUGCUUUGAUGAACUAUCAGUGCUGACUGGGAGUCACUUUUUUUUCCUCAGUUGCAGUUUGUUUGCUUUUGGGGGACUGUUUGUUUUAUUGAGCAAAUUCCUGGCUAAAAAUCCAAUAGAAGGCAAAGGAUAAUUAAGCAAAAGACAAUGGUGGCUUCAUUUUAUGAUGAAUGAAUUCAGGAAGGAGCAGCAGAGAGACAUGUUAAAAUAAGCUUGUAUAAAAAAGCUCUGUAAGGUUUUGAAAUAGCAUAAAAACACUGCUGCAAAAGGAGUGAGCCUGUAGAUUUCAAAGCACUAUGAAUUUAUUCCUCUGUAAAUAAAAAGGAUUUAUCUUAGUGUUAGAAUAUAUACACAUCAAUAGGCCUUUACCUGAUGACUGUUAGUAGCAUGGUAAAGAGUUAUUUGAUACUAAGUAUGAGCAUCAUUGAGGGAUUCGUAAGUAACCUCUAUAUUUGUAGUUAGUUUCAGUUUGUUUAAAAUAGCUGGGUCUUACUCUACUGGCUUCUGUUGCUACUUACAUUAACUACUGGAUCUAUAGGUCUGAGCGGGAGCUUUUCAACAACUGAAUCACUGGCAAACCUGUAAUCCUUUUACUGACUGUGCUUCAUCUCAAAACUGUCUUUGACCCCAGCCUCCGAGAAUCAUAUGCCUCUGACGUUCAUGAACUUUCUUGUGGUAGUUCAAGCUGCACAUAAGCCAGUGUAACUGAGCUGCCGCUGCCAAAUGAAAUGAUCCUAUUCCCCCAGCCAUGGUUUCACUCUGCCUCCUUUGCAUUAAAGCUAGUGAAAGUGAGGGUACAGGGUAGGUCAGACCAAGGCAAAAUCGUUCCUUUUUUCUCUUUGAUUGAUUAGGCUUGUGCUGAAAUUAAUUAAUUUUCAGUACUAACAGAUCAGUUUAAAAAUAAACACAAAACUUAUGAGCCAGAUACACUGCCAUGUUUGAUCUUCUUUAUGGAAUGUACAGUACAUGGACGUUGCUUCCCUUUCAAGAUGAUAGAUGGAAAGCCAUUAUCAUGAUUUUUCUUAGAUGAAAUGCUGAUGCAGCCUCUAGAAGCCUUCACGUGGUCUGAGCCAUGCCUCUGCACCUCUGGACACUGUAUGCUGCUGUGUCCAUAUUAAGUAAAGGGAAAAAUCAGAUCAUCACAGUUAUCUGUUCCUACUGAAAGAAAAUUGAUUUAAUUAUGAAAUUCAGAUUGUUCAUAAAGAGGUGUUCAAAUGUUCUUAUGUAUAGGUGAUUUUAGGGAAAUUAGUAUCUGGAGUGCGUUUUCUUGCAUUAAGUUUACAGCGUUUUACAUCAAGGAGAACUCCAAGGGUCUCAAUAAAGAUGAAUAUGUCAUGAUAUAUCAGCAUUUGUCUCAUUUUUUGUUACUUAGAGUGAGCACAAAUGCAUGCUCUGUAACCUUGAACUUUAGAUAUGAGCUUGCCUGUCCUCUGCAAUGGUAAAACUCCCAUAGGGCACUCCCAUAGGGAGUUAGGCAUUUGCAGGAGCUGGGUGCCCUUUACAGAGCACAAAACCUAUUUCUAAUGCACAGGUUUCAGUGUCAGACUGAGAAUGCUGCCUGCUGAUGUGUUUACAUCCUCUGAAAACCAUCCCUGAUGCAGGUGGCAAAUUCCAAAUAGUAACUGUUUCUGUUACUUCUGUUACCAGGUGUUGAAGCAACAUCAGAAGUUAGUGUAACAGAUGAGAACAGUAUCUUAUUUGAAAAGACCCUGAGUUUGGGAAGGUUUGUGGUUACUCCCACCUGCAUCAGGGAUUCUCAUUCUGGGGAAGAGGCUGGAGGAAUCUCAGCUGCAAAUGCGAUGAACUGACAAGUGUUUAUAAUCAGGGGAUUACUAUGAAUGUAUUUCUUCAGGCCUAUCAUCAACUACUCAAUUCCUACUGCACCCAGCCUCAGUUUUUUUCACAAAGUUUUGGUAAGUUUAAGCAUCAAGUAGGUUUUGAUUCAUAGGAAAGCAAAUAGGUGUGAGGGUUUUUUUUCUUUCUUUCAUAAAUCCUAAACCAGUUAAGCUGCAUUCCUGUUAGCCUGGCGUCCUUCAUGAAGAAAUAAGUAUUACACACAGUAUGUAUGCAAUUUCGUGGUAGAAAACAAUCUGAUUCUACUAGCAUCCUUUAAGUUAUGAAUCAUUAAGAAAGCUGAAGUGCUUUGUGCUGUCCUCACACUGAGACGCUCUCUGCUAGGAUGUCAUUUAUAGACUAUGAAAAAUAAGUUAAAGACCAAAUAUGUCACUUUCAUUUCAUUACUUUCAAGUGACAGCUGCAGAAUUUACUCACACAGAUAAUGUUAAUGAAUAUUUUAAUUAAUUCACAGAUGCUAACAGUUUGUGUUCAUUAGUGUCUGACUUUGGGCUUUGUUUCCUGAAAUCUUUCCACUUCUUGUACAUGCUCCUCUUACGUAGUGAGUCACCCUCUACAGUAAAUAACUCCUCCCAGUGGAUGUGCACACUGUUCUCAGAGAUGCUGGAUGAAGGGAGGGAAAGGGAUAAUGAAUUAGCUACCAGGAAAUUUUUUUAGUUUAUUUACAAGGCAGUAAUUAAAAAAUAAAACCAAACAAACCUAAAAUAGCAGCCUCCCUUAAACAAAAUCAUUCUUAUAUUCUUGAAUCUGAUUCAGAGUGGUACCUUAUGUUCACAUAUCCUUCUGAGUGUUUACAAUCUGUAGCAGUGCAUUUCAAAUACUUGUCUUGCCAUUUUCUCCCUACCAGUAAUUCGUGGAGGUAUUUAAGUAGCUUAAAUUUUAAUCCACAGCUAUUUGGAAGAAGGAUGAAUCAGUGGUCAAAAAAUGCAGCUCAUUAAUUUUACAUAAUAGCAAAAGAAUAAAUAGGUCAGUAUCCUGUGCGUUAUUUUACUAAUAGGAUAGUCUAAUUGCUGUGUAGUUAGUGUUUAUAGAGUACUUUGAAGAUGUAAUUUGGUGUACAGGGCUAAUGUUGUGUUCAUACACUUCUACAUCUAGCUAUACUUGGAAAGAAAUAAUUAACUUCAUGUGAAGUCCUUCGGGUUUCUGGUGCAUGGUGAAAGAAACCAGGAUGGGAUUCAGCUGACUAAAUGCCUAUGUGUACCUCUGAGCUACCUGGCUAGACCCUCCACUGCAAGCAGGAAAGAAAUAGCCACAUCUGAGGAAUGAUUUCUUUUGUACUCCAGUAGGUAUCUGAAAAUAGAUCAUAUGAAUCAUUUGUAUCUGCUUCUUGACUGCAAAGGAAGUUUAUGGUGGCUGGGCCUGAUGUGGACAUCUGCCUUGCAGAUAACUAAAGUUAGGUUGAGAAAGCCCUGUACCAAAAAAAUUCAGUGUUUUCUGCAGUGAUUUGGAAGUAAAUAUAAAGGGUGCUUAAAAUGAGUCAAAUGAAAGCCUAGACUGGUUGAUUGAAGGGACUGGCUCAACGUAACUUGAAGAAAUUGUGUAUGCCAUAUACAUACGUACUUGGUUCCAAGAUGUUUGAUAUAGGGAAUGAGAAAUGUUGUUACACCUCUUUUUCUUUGCCCUCCAAGUCUGUAUUCUUCUUUCUGUCAAAGGCUAGCAGAGUAAGUUCCUAGGGCACACCCAUCCAGGCUUGAAGCUGUAUCAGCCUGCCCUAGCCUUCCAGAGACUUCUGAGCUUCUCAGCCUCUUGUGCUGGUCAGUAGUGCGAGUGGUAUCUCUGAACCUGAGUCACAUUCUCACGUGGUCUGUGGUAAGGUAAACACAAAGCAAAUAUAAGACCUUCCUUCCUUCUUGGAUCUAUGGCAGGCAGAAAGCUCUCCUCAGCUUCCCCCAUGCUGAACUUAUUGUCUUCUGCCCAGAAUCCUUCCAGCUCCACAGAAACAGUUCUUCAGGUGAUCAGUGGAAUUCAUGUCUACCCAUGUUUUGGGUGCCCAACACUGAAUGGCACACUUUACCUCAAACUAAACAACCUUUUUCCUUCCAGGUACAUCUUUGCAUGUCCCGGUCUGGCUUUUCUGUAGGAAAUCUUUAUUUUCAAAUUUGUUUCUACAAAACAUUCUCCAGCUCCUUUCCCCAUGGUCUUCCAGAUGGAUCAAUGCAGGGCUGUGCUUCCGAGGGGCUCUCUUCAACCUUUUCCAAAUCUCUCUUUCCCAUUUUUUUGCUAAGAAUACAAGCAGUUGGUCCUCAUUUCCCGCUUUUCUAGUAAGCCUCACCUCCACUGGAAUAGGAACUAGCUAAUACCCUUCUCCAUGCACAGAGAAAAUUACCUGUCUGCAGCGACCAAAAGGGGAUGAAUAUAGGGACUGAUGAUAGCAUAUGCAGUUUGACAGCUCUAAGUUAUGAAUCAGAUCCUUGUGUGUUGGGAGGAACCAAAGCCUGAAUCCUCAGAAGCUAAGUAUGUAGUUAGAACAACUGAAUAGGAUAAGCAAGGAUACCUGUCUUUAUUCCAUAACCUUCCCUCCUCUGCUUCCCAGUUUCAUGGCUACUUGGAUAGUUUUGAUGUAAAGUUAUUCUUCGAUCAUUAUUAUUAUUACUACUACUACUAUUAUCAUUAUCAUCUUAUUUUCUCUUUUAUGAGUGUCUUUUAGUGGCAUGGCAUGGCAUGGCAUGCACAGUCACUACCAUUUGUCACACACUGUCCUGACCAAGGAGAAAACAGUGCAGUGCAGUCAUAGCAUUCCUUGCUUAAACUUUAGUGGGUCCCCUGUAUGUGCCUAUGUUGGAAAACGUUCACACAUGAGAAACUAGGGAUGUAAAAAUUGUGCCUUUCAUAAGGAAAGACUUCUAAUUGUCCUUGGUUUUGUCAAAAAUGUAUUUCUACUUCCUCGGGUCCUGAGAAAGUUCUCUGUCUUACAUAUGUGAACGUGCAGGAAGCUCUGGGAUUCCUGAGUUAUGGAAUUGAGAUUUCUUUUUUCAUCUACUGACAACCUUUCAGAUUUCCUCUGACAAGCUUUAAAGUAUUUUCAAGACCUAGAAACUGGCUCACAGUGGGAAAUAAAUUCCUCAGUUCACAUGCUAAGCAUCCGCCAACUCUGUAUUCACAUUUUUGUGCACAGUUUUACUUAAUCUCUUACUAACUGACUGCUCUUCAUUGUUGUGCCUUCCUCCCUCCGCACGGUAGAGUGCCCCACGUGUUCAGGGAAUGUUGUGAGGCAACUGAUAUAAAGACUCCUAUUGUAUGAAGUUGGGAAAAUUAGCAUCUCUUGCUAGACAAUUCACUGCUGAGAGGUUAAUAAGAUAGCAAAGGCUUGAAACAUGUAGUAAGGGGGGAAAAAGACCCGGGGAUUCAUGGCUGAAAUCUGUUUCCAAAAGGACAUUACUUCUAUUUGUUGUACUCUUAAGGCUUGAACUAUGUCUGCAAUAAGGAGACCAAAGUAAUAGUUGGAAUCUGGUUACUUUUGAAAAGUUAUUUCUGUUUCGUAAAACACAUACGCAAAGACAAAUGCAGCAAAAGGGAAGACCAUAGUUAAAUUGCAUCAUACGAGGAGGUCAUGGCUCUGCAGACGCUCCCAUGCUGUACUGCAUCACACCAAUGAGGUUACCUACAGCCCCUCUGCUGCCCCAGCAUCUGUAGAUCUUCACUUGAUUAGGCACAGGACUUCCACGGGAUUUAAGCAUAGGUAUAGCACUGAGGAUGUUAAGGGUCUUGGGGAUUCAGAACUCAGAAAUGCACUUGAUCACACACGCUUUCCGGCCAGUGAGAGUUUUGUGUACUUAGUGACUAUGCUUCGGUAGGCAGCUACUGCUAUCUGCAGAACAGGGCCAUGCGAGUUCCUGGUCCCACCCACCUCAUGAAAAUCGAGUGAAACUUUUCCUCCCGGUGUUGAAACAUUGCAUGCAGAAACCUUUCCAGGGCAGGCGCGGGUGGGGCCCUGGGGCUGCAGUCAGGCGCGCUGCACCCGGCAGGUAGGCAGAGAAUGCUUUUACAAUUUGCUGUUCUCCCUUACUACCCAAGCAUAAAAGCAACCCAGAUUAAGCUACUGCUUUGAUCUUGCUCAUUCUUUCUUACACGUGUUGAAUAGGUUACAUACAACUUCAAUAAAUAAGAGAGGGGGAAAAAGGAAAUGGCAAUUCAUGUGUUUUGUACCCGUUCAAACGGAUUAGAGCAAGACAAUCUAGAGCAGUGCUUUCCAAAUAACCACAAAUUAAUCCCUCUCUCUAUGGCACAUUUACUAUUUUUAUCAUCAAACAGUGUCAAAUUGCAUCUCUUAAUAGCCAUUUCAGCCAGUUGAACUACAGCUGCAAUGUGCCAUUUCAGAUUUAUGUGAAACUAAAUAGACAUGCUUGUGUAUUCUUAUAGCUGUGGUCAAGAAUGUGGCACUCCAUUGCUCUAGGUGCUGAACUAUGCAUUUUUUCAAAGUGAUUGAACAGACCAAAGGCAGUGAAAGAAGUGUAUCUGCUUAAUGCCCAUGUGAAAUUGUUUGAAAUGCUUGAGGAAAAUAUAUUCUUAACGGGAUAUAUUGAUUAUGUGAUUGGUUUUAUUAGAAUUAGUUUUUAAAACAUUAGAUUUACCACAGGUGUCUGUGCCUUAUGCACGUUCUAGACCUGGGGAGAGCAAGAUGGUAAUGCUUGCACUGUGGCAAUCUUCAGAAUAUAGAAGAUCAUAAAAUCCUGGCUGUCCAGGAGGCAGGAAGCAUGCUGAAGUGUUCCUGCUGUGAUGUAGCAAGGUCUUAGGCAGCUGUCUUGUGUUCACUGUACAUCUACAGCCAGGUGUAUCAGCAGAGUGGCAUUGGCUAAACAGGGAGCUUGGUGGAGCUCCGAUGCAAAAAGGCAGCAUAAAGGAGAUGGAAGCAGGGAUGGACUACAGUGAAAUAAUUUCAAAACAUUGCCUGAGUUUGUAGGGGUAGCUGCAGGAGAUCCAAAGCCUAAAUGCACUUGAGCCUUGCACGGGAAGUGCAACAAGAAGAGCUUCCACUGCUGUGUUAGUAUAAAAAGGCUGAGCAAGGAAAACAUGGAAUCAUUGCUGAAUGGAGCAGGUGACGUAGUAAUAGCAGACACAGAUAAAGCUGAGGUAUUCUAAGGUUUCUUUGCCAUCUUUACCAACAAGCUAUCCUAUUCCUGUGUGCUUCAGGGAAGGGUUCAAAGAGAACUACCAGCAGCAUGUGAAUGUUCAGUCACAGAUUUCUUGAGAGAGUUUGACCAGAAAACUCCAUGGGACCAAACAGACCACAUCCAAGGUGCCAAGAAAACUGGUUUGAUGUCUCUGCAGGCCCACUCGAUCACAUUGGAAAGGUUAUGGAGAUCAUGGAAUGUUCCUAAAGGCUGGAAACAGCCUGUUCCCCUGCCAUUCUGACAUGAUCUCAGAGACCUGUGGAAUACAGUGGCUUCAGUGAGGAAUCAGACUGACACUGUUCAAACUCUGCUGCACACUUUCUGAACAGAGCCAGAACCAAACAACUUUUAGCACUUUCUUCAGCGCUUUUUGCAAAAGAAUCCCCAACGAAUCAGGAGGCAUCUACCUGCCCUGGAAUGUUUAUGAGCUAAUCCAGCAAAAAUGGAAGGCAAGGGUAUGAGGAAGAUGAGAGAGAAGAGAACACAAUAAACAAAGAAGGAUCCACAGGAAAACAGAGAAAGCUUGCAGACCUCCUUCCUAGCCCAGAGGUGGAAAAUCAAGUCCUCUGAAGUUGGGAAAUGCCAGAUAUUUGUCUGUCUGGCCAACCCAAAUUCAGCCCGGUGCUGGUGUGUUCUGCUACGGUCUGCCAUUGCCUUCAUCAUGGGCUCUUUCUUCCCCACGGCCCUGAUUCAUGUGAAAUUAGAUCUGGUUACAAAAUCAACACUUCGAAAUCAGGAAGUACCAAACCUGGGGUUUCCCAAGCAUCCUUCACUCUGCAACACUGCACGCCUGCCCUUCUCCAUUUCAUGCCUAGCCUGAGCACAAAGUGUCAAAAUUUAGGCUAUCUGGGCAAAUGCAAAUCUGUUAUUGCCUAACUUCUGCAAGUUUGAUUUUGCCAGUGUUGCAAUCUCUUAAUGCUCUUUCUUUGGUAAGUAAUAACCAGUGUAGAAAAACUCCCAUUGAGUCCAAAAAUCUGAAAGGAUCAGCAAUGUGAAUGACUUUUGGGCUACCAAUACAGCAUUACUGCACUCAAUGGAUCGCUUCAUCCAUUCAUAUGUACCUGUCACUUUUUGAGUACUUAAAUCAGAAGCUAGUAUAAAUGCCAAGGCAUAGGAAGGAGUAAAGCAAAUAAUGUGUGGGCUGUAAGCAGAAAUUCACCCUUUGUCCUUAACAGUAGAGCAGAACUAUAAGAAAACUGGCAGAUAUUUUAAAAUCAAUAGGAAGAUAACCCCUCCAGCCCCCAAACCAAAUUACGAAGUUUUAAAAAACAACUUCUGCCAUAAAGAAGCUAAAUAUUAUAGACACUAUUUUUAUUUUGAGUCUUGCACCAGGCUGCUGAGCUGAGGCUUGGCAAACCUACACCUUGUUUUGGGUUUUGUUCCUGACCUGCUGCAUAACGCAAGCAGACCCAGACAUUCAGUGUUUUGCUUAGUUACCAAGUAGGCUUUUACGGCAGAUUGUCCCUUUCCUAUAAAUUUUCCUUCAUGUGGACGUCUACUCCUAAGACUAAUCCAAUAUGUUACAAGUUUUCAGCACUAAUUUAUUUUCCUUUUCCACAAGUAAUCUUUUUCUGACGUUCUGUGUAUUGCAGUGCCAGUGGAGGUGAACAGAUGCAGCUGAAUUGUUGAGACACAGCCGAUCCCAAAUGGCUCUUGUUCAUUGUAACACACUGACUAAAUAUGACAAAUUUUUCUGCAUCAGCAGUGCUUUGCUGGGUCUGAGUGUGUUGACCCCUUCUCAGUAAAAACUUUUUGAUGCAAGUGCCCAAAGGCAUAUGAGUAACUAUAAACUACUGCUUAAAAAUUACUUGAGUUUUGAGAAGAUAUUACUGUAAAAUAUUUCUUUGUCUGAAGCAGCACAUGGCACUUGACAUUUUCAGACUAAAUGUGCCUAAGCACCAUUUUGAUAUAUUUGAGUAUUAAAGAUUCAGCUUAGUACCUCCAUAAGGAAAAUUGUUAGGAGGGGUUUUUUGUUCACCACAGUAUCCUCAGUUGGUUUAUUUGUUAUUUCAGCAAAAUGAGUGCACCCCUGUGUUAUUCUGGGGAUACAUCCACUCCUGGGACUGGGUGCAGAAUACACACCAAGCACACAGGGUAUUGCAUUUUUGCUGUGUAAAAGGGAUGAGGCUUUACCCAGACACUUGUCUUAUGCUUCAAAGCAACUCUUAAAAAUUGUGUCUUUAGUCCCUUCAGCUGGCAUGUUUGGUACAAGAUUAAAGUCGGUAGUUUCCUUCCUUGGAGAAACAUAUACUAUGGCAGGAGAGGUAGCACUGCUUCCAGUACGUGUAAUGGGUACCACAUGCAUAAAAUCUCUGUGUGACUUUUACUAAACCAUCAUUUAAAGUGAAGUUGGCUCUGAAGUUACAUCCCCUCAGGAAGUGCAGGUGGAAAGCCUGUGACACCGUUAUUCUACUUAAUUGAGGUAAAUAAAACCUUGUAAUCAUCAGUCCAGUAACACGGCUGGCUGAUCUCACAGAGUGUCAAGGAUAUGUUGAUGUCUUCAGCCUUGAACAACCCUUCCUUGUCAGGUUUAUUACCUGUUUUGCUCUUACAUUCAGGAGCUGAAAAAAAUUGAUUAGUUAUUAAGGUGUCUCCUUCUAUCUUGGAAAGCUCCUAUAAAAAUUGCUCAGGUGAUUCUCACUUCCCCUGAACACCUCUAGUAGACUGUCCAGUGAACUAGGAGUCCAAUAGGAAACAAGAGCAGGUUUAGAUAAAUUUGUUUUCAAUUUGAUAUUCUUCAGCCUCUCGAGCUUCUAUGUUAAACAAAAAAUAUGAUUCAAUCCUGAUAUGGUUAAAACACAGCAUCACAGUCUGUGUGCACGGCCAGCUUCUUCAUACCUUGUCCCCAACAGUUUGACCUGUGGGGCUACCUCUGUUAUUUGCAGCAUUUUCUUUUCUUUCCUUUCCUUUCCUUUCCGUGCCUUUGCCUUUGCCUUUUUGCCUUCCUUUUCCCUUUCCCUUUCCCUUUCCCUUUCCCUUUCCCUUUCCCUUUCCCUUUCCCUUUCCCUUUCCCUUUCCCUUUCCCUUUCCCUUUCCCUUUCCCUUUCCCUUUCCCUUCCCCUUCCCCUUCCCCUUCCCCUUCCCCUUUCCCUUUCCCUUCCCCUUUCCCUUCCCCUUCCCCUUCCCUUUCCCCUUCCCUCUUCCUUUCCCUUUUUUAACACUAUGGGUCUUUUAUGAGUUGAUUCAAAAUUAUUUGCCCGUAACUACUACGACAAACUUCAACCCUUGCAGGCCAAACAUAUGAGAAAGAUUGCUUCAGUAAGCUCUCUGUAAGCUUGAUCAAAGCCUGCUAAAAUCGAACUUGUAGAGCAGUUUGGUCCGGAGCUGAGUUGCAGAAAACUGCACUUUUCCCAGAAGGCUGCCGUUCCAGUAUAUGAAGAUCUGGAUUAUCUCUCUUGGGAAGAAAAAAAAGGAAGGUAAGUUUCAUCAUGCCAUGUUAUGUAACAGCUUUCCCACGUUAUAUAGUGAUUUUACACUAAAAAUGAGCACUUUUAAAAAUAAUUCAUGGAAUGAGACUGAAGCACAAGAGCUGACAGAUGCAGCAUUAUGAGGAGGGCUGAGAGGAGCAGGUCUGUCUGCAGGCGCUGCACCUCCUUUCACUCAGGAAGUAAAUGUUAAAACCACCUGAAUGGGUAAUUAAAGUGCACUGUAGUGUUUUAAUAUGUAAUAUGUAUUUUAAUGAGGGGUGUUCUUAUUCUGGUAUUUCUAUAGAUAGGAUGGACUGCACAGAAAAAAAAAGAAAACUAUUGUCAAAAUGUGGUUUAAUGGAUGCUGUUGAAAGUGGGAUUUCUGUUUUAGAUGUGAUUGCUAUUGUUUAUCAGUGCUUACACCUCAACUCAUUAGGUGAGGAGAUGAUAAGAUGUUGGCACACUUGCUCGUCAAAAAACUUCUUCUUUCAUUUCCACAGGCAUAUGCUUUUGGCCUGCAGCUCACUAAAUCUGUUGGGUACGGCACUUUUUUUGAAUAUUUGAUGUGGGUUUGUGGUAACUGCAGUAGAGAAUUAAGAGGCACAAGCUCUGCAAAUAUGUUCAAAUUGUCAAUGGAUCUUUCUUUGCUGGUUUCCCUUCACUUUUUUAUCAAUUUCUCCUGAUCUCUACUUCUUGCAACAUCUAUAGUUAUGAUGUAAAAAUUCAGGAAAUAUUUUUUCCACUAUCUGUUCUGUAUUCCAUCUCUUAGUUUCAUCUUGAAGUAAUACUGCGUAUCUGUUAUGUUUACAUUUUUUUAGUAUGUCUUAUACAAUUUUUGUAGCUACAGUAGAUGAAAUCAUUAUUUUAUUAUAUCCAUUAGGUAUCUUCUUAAUAAGUAUGAGUUUCAGCUCUUCCUUUAACAUACUAUCUACACAGUAAAAUAUGUGCUAGUAAGUAGCUGUAUGUAUCAAAAGACAAUAGUUUCAGGCUUUAAGUCUGCCUCUACCUGCAUCGCAGGAUUGUACAGAUGUGGUCCUGCUAGAUUUGUGUAGAGAAAUACUUUUGACAAAAGAGAUACCAUUUUUUGAGUGUGUUAAUAAGAGGAGGGAACAAUUUCUGCUGCAGAAAUUCUGAGUUCUAGCCUCAGUAGCAGAACUGGUUAUCUACAGAAACACUGAUCAGUUUAUUUCUGUCGCACAUUAGUCUUCUUCCAGUAACUGUAAUAUAUAUUAUUUUUUCCCUGUUGUAUCUAUGUAAGAUAUUAGGAGCAGGUAGAAGGAAGAUGCAUAAGACUUGCUGCGUUAUCAAACCUAUCUCCUUCAAAGGGUAGAAGACAAUCCUUUUUCCUAACCGCUUGAGUUUCUUAUAGUUUAAUUGAACAAGAGCGGAGAGUACAAAGCUGAACAAAGUACACCUGAAAUUCAUUAUGCAACUGAGAUGGCAUGAUUUUCUGUGUUAGGAUUGUGAUCUUUGUCCUUUCUUCUAUUGGCAGAUGUGGCUUUUACUUGCAUGAAUCCUAGGCAUAUGUAUGGUGUCUGGUUAUGUAUUUAUUUUGUUUAUUAAUUGUUUUUAACAACAAUUAAUUACACUGGUCCCCGUGCUUGCUUAUUAAAAAUGUAAACAAAGCUGUGGAACUCAAUGAGAUUCCUCAGGUGCUUAAAACCAAGCAUUUGACAUUCUUUUCAGAAUCAAGUCCUUAGUCCUUUUCCUUGCAUCCUGUUCUGGUAUAGCAAUUUUUGACACUUAAACUCACCUUCCUUCACCAGACAAUAUGUGUGAAGAGUAUAUUUCUGCCAUAAGACCAUGUUUUUAUGGCAAUGAUAAAUCCCUGAAAAGGAGUUUGUAAUGGAAAUACUGACUACUCCUUAAAUGACUAGAAAACUGAAGGCUAGGCAACACUUAACAAAAACAAGGGCAUAUUUUAAAAUUAGACCUACUAUUCCUACCUUUAAUAAGGACUGGAGGAAAUUAAAUGGUUCAGCUUCAACCUGGAGGCAAAGCCAGGAUGCUGACUGUAUUGCACCGGGCACAAACGUGGUCUGAGAUCUUAGAUAUAUAUUCAACUUUCCAAAGAUCUUACAAUCUACCUAGUAUCAGGCAGUCAGGGGAAUCUUUGAGGGAAAAACAAAGUGCCACAGGAAGUGGCAUUGUGAUUCAGAAGAUGACAUUCUUCACCCUGAGUCACUCACGCCCUGCUGGGGGGCUCUCCUGCAGGUAAAUCCCAGCACUGAGGCUCUGAGUCCUCACCGCUCCACUCAGUAAAAUAUUGGAUGACACUUGUCACAAGGAUAGCAGCAUCUAUCCUGGCUUUUGGCUAUAUUACAGACCGGGUAAUUACUUUAAAGUUCUGGCUGCUUUAAUUGCCUAUGGUUCUUUCUUCGUUACUUCCUUCCCCUUGGUCUGUGUAGGUUGCUGGCACUGUUACAAUAGCUGAUGUGUUUGAUGUGUUUCUAGGGGUGACUGGCUUUGCUUGAUGCCCAAGGGGGCCUGGCUGGAUUUCAGUGAUUUCUGAGUUGCUGCUUCUGCAUUGUGCCUUUGUAGCCUGGGAUGCCGCUGAAACAAAAGCUGAAGUGCCUUUCCUGUUUGGAAAGAGCCCAACCUGCUGGGGAUCGUAUCCAAACAAGAAUACUGCUAGCCUGUGGAACACUGGAAAUUUGUGCUAUGUCAGUAAAUAAAAAUAAUCUUUACGUAGCAUCACAGGCACCAAAAAGUAUGAAGUACAAUAGGCAGAAGAUGCCAUUCCCACAGAGAAGACAUACUUGGCUUGAGUCAGUUAUUAUAUUUUAUUUCUACUGCGUAUUUGAACACUACCAGAAAAUUGUCAGCCACAUGUAUCUACAUCAGGAGCACUUAGCACGUACUUAUAAAGAAUAAGCAAUUACUCUACUCCUUUGCAAUUUAUUUUUAAAAUAAGGAAGGUCUGUCCUACAGUUAGGGAAUAAUAAGCAUUGCAAUUAAUGUUAAGGACCAAAGUUUGCUAGGUAAUAAAAGCACAAAUAAACUUAAUCCUCCCAAACUUCAGCUGAAUUUUUAUCUGGAAUGCCUUAAUAAUAACUGAUUUGAUUUCUUUUCAGUGGAAAUUACUUAAUCAAAUGCAAAUUUUAGAAUUACUCCGAGGCUGAGAAACCACGCAGCAAAUAUCUGCGUUCAGUGAAUUUUUAUGGUGGCUUAUAAUGGAAAAGCUGAUAGAACUUUAGCCAUCACCUUGCUAUCAAAUGCUUCUGUAAUUCCAAAUUAACAUGCCUUAUCUUAUCUGCUAGCUCGGCUGCUUGCUUUGCAUCAAUUAUGAUAUAAGAAAUGCUAGUUCCUUGGUAAUUUUAUUAAUUUUGAUGUCUGAGAGUGGGUGUUUUGAGUUUCUUCUUCUAUUCAAAGCAUAUAGCAGAAAACACUCUUACCAAUUUGUUAGAAACCUGAUCUCAGUAAGCACUGGGUGUCUUUUGACUUGGUUCUGUUGAGAUUUCAAAGAGCUGAGAGUACACAGUGACUCACAAGACACGUUGGCACCUGGCAGAAUCACAUCCUAAUCGAUCUGUGUGGUGCUGGAUGGUUUCGGUUGGCAGAGUCAUGCAGCCUAUUGCCUUUUAUUAUAUUAUACAUUCCAACCUAAGUGGUUUUGCAAGCCUUGAAGUUGGCUUUGAGCUCCAGAUUCACAUGUUUUGGAAACAUUAAUGUAAAAAUCCUUCAAGGUAUCACAUUUCCUGACUUCCAUAAUGAAAACGUGCUAACUGUAAAUUUCAUAAAAUUGUGGUGAAGGGAAAUGAAGCAGUGUUAUUAAGGUUGCAACUCAGAGCAGGUUCAAAAGCUCUGUGAGUCUUAAUGGACCUUUUGAUACAGGUGCUGUGAGUUAGGAGUCUUUUUCUAAGCCCCAAACACAACACACUUCAUGUAAAACCUAAAAGGAACACAGCUGCUAUUGCCAUACUCAGCAGUUAUUUCAUUCAGUUCUGUUUAGUAAGGGGCCAGUCUGCCCUUAGCUUUUGCCAAAACUUCCACUAAACUCCACAGACUGUUUAAGCACUCAGCAAGCAUAUCCUUUUUCUUUAUUUCCUUAGUUAUUUUUGAACAUGUACAGCCUUGUAAUGCAUGUACCUGUGCACUUCUAUGUGUCCCUUUAAUCUCUUAAUUGAGACUGGUUUUAUACAAUCCUUUGGCAGCUAUAGGACAGCUGUCUAGUUGCUCAUUUUAUGGAAAGAUUAUGAAGGAUGGGGAUGAAACUAGAUCUUAAGGCAAGAACUUAAGAAGAGCCUUACGAAUGUCUUAAGAAAUGCCAAAUUUUAAAAUGGAACCUGAGUUCCCAUUUCAGGGAUACAUUUUCUGGAGAUGGGGUUUGUCCGCAUUGCAGAGCUGAUUUCAGUUAUCCUUUUUUAGUUGACUUUAAACCCAAAUCUAUAUUAUAUCCCUACAUUAUGCAUGAUGGUGCUUUUAACUUGAGAUAUUGAUCUGCCAAGGGGGGGUCAAUCUAAGCUUCAGCUAACACAACUCUUCAGUUAUUAACAGGAUAGUAGCUGCCUCCUCUUCUUUUACUGUCUACUCAAAACUUCUCCCUUGCACCAAAAAAACCUCAAAGUUCCCUCUCAAUUCACGCAGGAGCAUUUCAGACCCACAGUUUGGCUGUCUGAAGACUGAGGACAAGUACCAUCGCCCCAAAGGGCUUCACACCACGCACAGGUGACUCCAGUCCAAACUAAACAGUUCAGGUGUCACUUCACAGUGUGGCCACCUCCAUAAGCAUGAGCUUAGAUAACAUAGAACUGAAGUCAGGUUGUUCUCCCAUAUUCUUCAAAGUGUUACUGAAAAGUCAGUGAGACUUCCAUCCUUCCAUUCUUUUCAGCACCUAUAAAAACCAAACCACAGCUCAUUUUGUGCGUUCAUUUGUGCUGGAUCAAAAUUCAAUGUUUUUCAAUAGCAAAAUUUAAGUGAGGAAUGAACACAGGAAAGUAUGUAUGCCAGGGCCUCAUCUACAGGUUGCAUAUUAAACAGUUUCUAAAUGAAAAGGUUGUUUGCUGUGCUAUGAAACAGUCAUCUUUCUGCAGACCUACAGCCCACCGGAACGAGGGGACAGGAUGGAGUGUGCCUUUUCCAGUAUUCCCCACCCACUGACCCAGAGCAUGAAACCCACAGAGUUCUUGGAACUGCAAACAGUGUUUGAAUUCAGACUAAAACUGGAAAACAGAAACUGGCUCUUUUUUUUCCCCUUUUUUUUGGUUUUUUUUUUUUUUUUUUUUGAGUCACAUCAGUCAAUGCUAUUUACAAAAUCGGUUUAUGGAGACCACAGGUGGACACUCUGACUCAUUACACAUGAAUACUAAAUAUAUCCAAGACAAUCUUGGAAAAUCCCAUGAAGAAAGAGGGAAUAGCCGUCUGAUUUUUAUAUUUUUAACGUUGGGUUUUGGAUGCCAGUAAUGGAAAUUACAUUGUUUUCACAAAAAGCAGGUGAGGGACAGUAAGGGACUGAAUGAUUGCCAGGCUCAUGUGGCUUGAAGGAGAAGAAGGCUUAAAGCUAGACACGGAGGAAGGUUUGUCAUGCUGCUGUAGGUUGCCGUUCACAUUUGUGGCAGGCUGUGGUGAGGUUAGCAAUGCAUUCCACAAUUGUCAGGAGCUAAGCAAAUGUUACGUCCUUUAGCCAGGGUGAAAAGCACACCUGCCCAGGAAGCUGGCGUAAAAAAUUUGGUACUGCCUCAACCCUGCUUCAGUGCUACAUGGAGAGUUUGAGUAGUGCUUAUGGCCUCAUAUCCUGCCACAUAUUUAAGUCUCUCUGAUCUUGAAAACCAGGGAGGUCCAAGGUCUGUAAUAUAUGCAGGAAAGCAGAUAAUGGAUCCCUUUUUGUUUGUCAUCACUGAAUGCUGUUUUGAUGGAUGUUUUGGUGCCAAGGCUUCUCUUAUUCUUAACCACCGAAGGAUAGCUAUUGCUGUACUCCCUGCAGUCCCUAGCUUAGCUCUGAGAAACAUAACAGGGUGAAACUGAAACAAAACAUGUAAGUUCUAGCCUGAAAGCUUACUUUAAACAGAAGCUGAGAAACAACAGCUUCUGUUAAGAGGAGCUGAGGAAUGAGUUAGUGAUUCUAAUCUAUGUCCUUUCCUAAAUGACCAAUAAAGUGAAUAAAUUACAUCCCCAAAUGCAAAUUUUUUUACUUAUAGGUCACCCAAGCCUGUAUUGCAGGUUUAUGAUAUUUCUCAUUGCCAAAAUUCCAAGCCAAAUUCUGUCUAGACAGUGGAGAUUAGUUCCUCACUACUCCAGUCUUUGAAACAGCCCCAAGGCUAGGAAGAACUUCUCUGUCGCUACCGUCUUGUUGGAAGUAGCAAUGUGUGGACAUAAACACAAUGAGAAAUUACUGAUGCAAAGACAAAUUAAGUAGUCAUAAUUGUUCUGGUUGAAGGUAUAUAGCAGAAGUGGUGUCAUUUCUUUGUGAAGUCAGUUUGUAUCAAGUGGUUUGUUGGUUGAGCGGAUGUAAUGGGGAUUUGCUUGUGGUCUUCCUUCCUAAUAACAUCUGCUAAUUAGGCUUAGCUUGACGAUCCUUUAGCAAAAUAGACAGAACUUCAGAAAAGGCACUCUUCUGGUACCCUGAACGACUAAAGUUCAGGAGCUGGAGCUGGAAAUACCCAACCAGCCUUUCUGUUUGGCUCACUGCAGUCCCUCUCUAAUGAGCUCUCCAUUUGUUCUGUGUGUUUCUGUAAUGCUUCUUCCAGCCUGCUACUAAAGUACUUCUAAUGGCAAUUUCUGUUUCUUCACUGCUUUCAAAGGAGUUGAUUCUUCAGUGUAUUAUGCUCGUUUCUGUCCAUUCACCUUUAAUACUAUCUACUUCAAUAGACUUAAACCAAAAUAAAAUACCGCUUGAAACGUUCAGGAUGUUGUUGUUGUUGUCUGUUGAAUGUAGCUCAUCACCAGCGCAGAAGACGCAAACAGCACAGCACAAAUGGAAAAGUUUAUUGCAAAACCAGAGGGAUGGCAAAGUAGUAUCCCUUUUUUCCCUGAAAAAGAAUGAGCGUCUUUGUUUCAACCGUUAGUCCAGCAAUUCCUACCAGCUCACUGUCUGCAAAUUUUGGUACUAUGUUGAUCAUCAUAGUCAUGUGAAAUUAUUUAGCAGGUAUUUUGUUGCCAAGGUCACAUGAAAUUAGUUAACAAAAACCUAAAAGUGAAUGUGCCAGUCAUCUCUCAUUGAAACACUGUUGGCUUCAAAGAACCUGCUGAGUUGUAAGAAUGAGCGGGAUUGGGCAUUUUCCCAAUAAUAAGAUGGCAAUAACAGGGAGCAAUGCUUGACUGUUGUAUGGUAAGUGAACAAUGCAUCCACGAAUUUUAUAUUUUUAUAUUCUUAGAUGCUUCAUGAUGACUUAGAUCUGUGGCUAGUUAUAAAUUACUUAGUACAGGGAAAUCACAUAGGUGGUCGGCAGCCAUGGCUAAGACUUUUGUUAAGUACCCCCAAAAACAGUAAAGGGAAAUUUAAAUCUUUCUGGGGAGGGAGGUGAAAAGAAAACUUUUGGGGAGUAAAGAAUAAUUUUAUUCAAAGCUUUGCAAUGGCUCUUCACUUCAAUCUAGUUCCACUCAGUGCACAGUUUCAUCUGUUACAAAGAAGCAGUACUACUGGAAGAUUCGCUCUUUCAUGAGGUAAAAGGGUCCAAAGAAAAAAAAAAGUUUUAGUGUUUUGAUACUGAACACCUGCAAUCUGAGCCCUGCUUUAGAAGCAGAGCUCCCUCACUGCUGAGUUACCAACUGUAGGUCUCCUCAUUGCUGUCUCUCUGGGCUCAUGGAUCAUGAUGAUGGGAUCAUGAAUUAUGAUAAAAUUCAGGUUGCAGGGUAACUGGAUCUCAACGAGAAGGGACAGUGUACUCCUUACUCAAGAGUGUCCUGUGACCUCUGGUUAGGCUCUCUCCUGGGAAGCAAGUGCCGUGGACUUGGGCUCUAUUAUCCUAGAAGGUCCACAAGCCAACUCUCCUACUUGAGCAAGUACCAUAACCUCCGGGUUACUACGUAGCUCACCUCUUCCCACUGUCUUCAAAUGAAGGUGGCUGUGGCUGCAGGUCUGAAUGCACUCUGCUUGUGUUGUGAGCGUACCCAAUGAAUCAAGCAAUUUAUGGCUGCAGUUCCCUUUUGUACAAAUCCCAAACAGCCCUAGGCAGGAAAACGGCUUCUGAAUGCUGAGCUCAGCCAAGGGAGUGGUUCUUGUGAGUAGAAGUAAUAACUGGAGGUACCCAUCCAGCCACAGGUGCAUGUAUGGAUUAAAUGCAGCUUUUCUGCAUCACUUGGAGUCAAAAUUGUGCAUUUAUUUGUCUUCUAGGAGUCUUUUUCAUUGCAAAGGAGGUUUGUCACUGAAUGUGUGAAUUGUUGUACUCAUUCGUUUUGUUUAGAUAUUAAACCACAAAAGUAUUUAUAAGACUUCUGAGGCCCAGAGUUCAUCUACGUGAAUAAGAAUGUUCUGUAUCAAUAAACAAGGGAUGAGGCCUUUCAAGAAAGAAGCAAGCCUGCUCUUGUCUUAAAGGAAAUUGCUCUUUGACUGCUCUGGCUGUUCUGCAUUCUUCAAAGGAGAUCACGCUGUGUCAGCUAAAUGAUUGAAAAAAUAGAUUUUUUACCAGACAGUGUAAAGUUGGACUCUCCAAAGUGUUUUAAACAAAGUUGAGACACCACAAAACUUCAAUUCAGUACGAAUUGUUCUUUGUGCUGCUUCCACUAAAGAAAAACAUAUGAAGUAUUUCCUUUGCUGAAUACAAAAAUUCUUCUCACUUUUGCUGCAAGAGAUUUGGGUUUAUUUCAAAGGCUUUACUUUUUAAACCAUAAGAAUUUCUUGCUAGACAUUGUGUAUGUGAGCCUGUGUAUACCUUUAUGAUUUUAAAAUAAAUAUAUGACAAUUUUAACCUUUUCAAAUUCCCCACAACAGCAUUCUACUUUAAUUCCUUUAACCCCACUCCCAAACCAGGCCGAUGAAAAGUCUUUCUUGACCUGAUAAGAACCCAAAUAAAGUUCUCCUUUACCUGAUUUCAUUAAAUCUGGGAGAAGGAUGGUUUGGAUUUCUCUUUGGUUUUUUUUCCCCGAUAGUAGUAAAAGAGGUAUUUGGUGACUCCUUACAUUGUCCAAGGUCACAUAGAGAAAAUGUUGCAGCAACAAACCUUUGAGUCCUAGUUCCACAAUAUAACCACUGUAUCACUGGAAGGGGAAAAGGGAAAACCCCCUGACAUUUGUUCUAAUAGAAGAAGAGUCUUGGCUAUCUAUUGACUCCAUUAUGAUAAACAAUGUAGGCAAGAGAGGACUUGUAACAGACCUUCUGGUUGCCUGCUCUUCUGAGCAAAGGUUUAGCCACAAAAAUUGGUGGGGAAAGGGAAAAGGUGAAUAUCUAUAUGAAAACCUGACUCUUCACAGCAGAUCAUUUUAGGUAACUCUUUUUAACAUCUCGAGGGAGUUUGAGAAUCGAACAAACAGAAACCAAAAACCAUUUCCUCUGACUUAGGAGAUUUGUUUCUCCCAUUGGAGAAAACUCCAGCUACAAAGAAGUCUGUGGCUGCCCUCCUGCAGUGCCCUCAUUAUAAAUAAAUGCUUAAAGCAGCUGCUGCUGCAAGUACCCUCAUGCCACUCCAGCAGGGAAUAAUCCUCCCAAGCAGUGCUCCAAGUCCACAGGAGCAUGGCAUGCUGCCGCUGUCUGAAUGAAUGACACGUCCAUCAGAGGCUUCCAGGCUGCGCUCUGACCACCAGUGUGGCCUCAGCCAGGUGGGCUGCUCUGCACAGAAGCAAGGUACGGCUGAGCAAAGCAGUGCCUCCGCAGUCCCGCCAGUGAUGCCCAGUGGGCUGGAUCUCCAUCGUCUUCUCCAAAGCCAGAACGUGCUCAGCUGUGAGAGGAAUACAGUUUAGAGCUGGGAGCCAUUGCCUCUCUGUGUACGAGGCAGCAGCUCCUGCUGAGGCUGGAAUAACACCCUCGUUUCCCCCCCCUCGCUACUUAGACUACUGGUUUCAAGCCACGAAUCAGGAAAAGGACAUUCUACCAAAAAGCAAAGAGUCUGUGUAUGUAACUUAUGAACACUGAAUUCCAGAAGUUCCCUCGGCUCAAAUCCUAGCUCCAGCAGUAAUGACAAGAAACUAGCACAGCCAAAACCAGAGCCUAAGGACCAGGAAAUGAGCUGAUCAGAUCUGCCAUGUCUGUUGUCCCCUGUUGUCCCCCUCAGGCAGCUAUUAAAUAUCAUUAGGCUGAAAUUCCCAGGGACAGGGCCUGAUUAACCUUUUUCUGGAAUAUACAGGUAUCUCGUAAGUGGAGUAUAAUGUAAUGCUGUUCAUUCUCACAGAACCUCCUGCACACUAGCUUCCUGAGUAUGCUGUGCCCUAUGAAUUAUUUACUCAACUUUACUGGUUACACUGGAGAAACUCUGCACCUUUUUUUUUAACCUAAUGCAAAGCAGUGGUUUUGUAUUUUUGCAUGUGCCGUAGUUGGCAAUGAUUAACAGCUUACGUGUCUCAGCAGUUUCUUUUUUCUUCCUCACAUUUUAAAUAAAAUGCAAUGGAAAUUCAA